This 45-nucleotide non-coding RNA is filed under the name Schistosoma curassoni. The record is from RNAcentral. Lineage: Eukaryota; Metazoa; Platyhelminthes; Trematoda; Strigeidida; Schistosomatidae.
AUUCAGCUGACGAGUCCGAAACAGGCCAAAACGCGCGUCCUGCAU